GGCCUGUAAUCCCAGCACUUUGGGAGGCCAAGAACAUGCCAAUUACUUCGGUGUGGAUGAGAAGCUGGGGCCAGUGGCUGUGAGCAUUAAGCGGGAGAAGCUGGAAGACCACAAGGAGCACGGACCUCAGUACCAGUACAGGAUCAUCUUCCGGACCCGUGAG
RNAcentral lists this small RNA (163 nucleotides) under Pongo abelii (Sumatran orangutan). Its description in RNAcentral is "processed transcript". Lineage: Eukaryota; Metazoa; Chordata; Mammalia; Primates; Hominidae. The record is from RNAcentral.